CAGACCCUGGAAUAAACCAGACACAGUUAAGGUUGGACAAGUCGGGGGGAGGGGGAGGGGGAGAAAGCAGCUUGCCUGCAAAGAUACAGCUGCACAAGCACAUUCCACCCAGCUCUCCACACUCUGAUCUCUAACCCUCUCAUGUGGCUAGUGAGGUGAAUUUGCAGAAGCCCUUUCUAACAGUAGUCAAACACCCGCUAUGGGAAGGGGCACCAGAGAUUUCCAGGGGCAGUCCAUCCGAAGGGACAGUCAGAAUUAACAUCCAGGCCCAAGAUUUGCUUAUCUUCUGCCAAUCGCCUAAUUAACUACCUGGAUCAACCAAGAAGGUUGGAGAACAGCCGUGCAAUUAAAAAUUACCCUGCCAACUUGAAGCUUCAUCAACUGAAGAGUUAAAAGCAGUUUCAGAAAGAAAAUCGCACAAGCCCACAGAAAGCUGACUUGAGGCCCUGAGCCUGCAAACACAUACUGAACUUCAUACUCCCACUUUAAUGCAACUAAUCACAUGUAUACGUAUUUGAAGGAUCACCGACUAAGGCUCACACUGUAAAAGGUAUUUAGGUGCCCUAAAUAAGAUGGCCCUAAGUGACCAUUAAACUGACUCAACACCAUGUGCUGUCAAAUGUACUAUAAAAAAACAAUAUAUGAUUUGGGACAGGAAAUAAGGAAGAACCUCAUACCAAGUGAAAGGAUGGUCUAUUGAAUAGACUACUGGACUAGAACUCAAGAAACCUGGGUUCAGUUCCCGAGUCAGCCACAGAUUUCUUGUGUGACUUUGGGCAAGUCCCUAGAUCUCUCUGUGUAGCUGUUGAAUGGGAAGGGUACUUCCCUUUGUCUGAGAGGUGCUGAAAGGAUCAGAUACUACAGUGAGGAGGGCUGUUAAAGCAUACAGACAGGUGGAUAAAAGUGGAGGAGGAUGAAUGUAGGGAGACAGAAUGCCUUCCCAGGACACAGCUCAGCCGAGGCACCCAGGUGAUCACACCUAUAACUUUUGCUGCAUGAUCAGGAGCCAGAAACUCUGUUUUACAUCUCAUCUGAAAGGCGGCAGCCCAAAGCCCCCUUCCACUAUGCUGGGACUUUUGUUGCAAAGGGAUUUAAGGUGAACACUAGGACUUGUGGCACCUUAGAGACUAACAAAUUUAUUUGAGCAUAAGCUUUCGUGAGCUACAGCUCACUGCAUCGGACACAUCCAGUACGUGGAUGAGAAGCUGUCCCGGAGGAUCCUGGAGCAGGCUCAGAUCCAGCAGGAGGAGCUGGACGCAUCCGACGAAGCUCAUGAAAGCUUCUGCUCAAAUAAAUGUGUUAGUCGCUAAGGUGCCCCAAGUCGUCGUCGUCUUUUUUUUUUUUUUUUUUGCGAAUACAGACUAACACGGCGGCUACUCCGAAAGGUGAACGCUGCCGCCUCCUGAACUGCCAACACCACUUCCGGAAGCCUUCUGGGGAAAGCCUGGGAAAGACCAUAGCAUGUCUAUCCAGGCCUCGCUUUUAAUACUCGGUUUCAGAGUAUCCGAUGAAGUGAGCUGUAGCUCACGAAAGCUUAUGCUCUAAUAAAUGCUAGUCUCUACGGUG
Dermochelys coriacea (leatherback sea turtle) is the source of this 1566-nucleotide long non-coding RNA. RefSeq lists it as uncharacterized. The record is from RefSeq and is a predicted model, not a curated record. The transcript has 2 exons. Lineage: Eukaryota; Metazoa; Chordata; Testudines; Dermochelyidae.